This 74-nucleotide transfer RNA is filed under the name Pallidibacillus pasinlerensis. Its description in RNAcentral is "tRNA-Arg". It matches the Rfam family "tRNA". Rfam says of the family: Transfer RNA (tRNA) molecules are approximately 80 nucleotides in length. Their secondary structure includes four short double-helical elements and three loops (D, anti-codon, and T loops). The record is from RNAcentral. Lineage: Bacteria; Bacillati; Bacillota; Bacilli; Caryophanales; Bacillaceae.
GUCCCGGUAGCUCAGCUGGAUAGAGCAACAGCCUCCUAAGCUGUAGGUCGUGAGUUCAAAUCUCGCCCGGGACG